CGCUGAGCCACGGCUAUCGGGUUUCCUUCUGAGCUCCCGGCGGCCCCAGCGCGCCGCCGGAAGUGUGUUCCUGAUUCUGGAGGACUCGUCUCACCCCCGAGGAGGAUGGUGGCAGUAUCUGAACCUUGGGUUGGAAAAGCUGCUGAGUGCUCAGAGCUUGGUGAGCCCUUGUGGGAACUUGGAGGAUCAACCCGAGAGCAGUGCCGACAGACAACGGAGGCCUGGCUUGUGAGGUGCAGAGAGUUAUAAAAUCUAACUUGAAUUUCCCAGUGUGAAGGCAUGACAUCCAUGGCAGAGGCUCAGAAGCCGCGACCUGAGGCAAACUGGAAAGCAAGUGGAGAUGAAGCAUGAGGACUUUUCUCAU
Microtus oregoni (creeping vole) is the source of this 364-nucleotide long non-coding RNA. RefSeq lists it as uncharacterized. Lineage: Eukaryota; Metazoa; Chordata; Mammalia; Rodentia; Cricetidae. The transcript has 3 exons. The record is from RefSeq and is a predicted model, not a curated record.